UACGUAGGGUGCAAGCGUUGUCCGGAAUUAUUGGGCGUAAAGAGCUCGUAGGCGGUUUGUCGCGUCUGCUGUGAAAACGCGAGGCUCAACCUCGCGCCUGCAGUGGGUACGGGCAGACUAGAGUGCGGUAGGGGAGAUUGGAAUUCCUGGUGUAGCGGUGAAAUGCGCAGAUAUCAGGAGGAACACCGGUGGCGAAGGCGGGUCUCUGGGCAGUAACUGACGCUGAGGAGCGAAAGCGUGGGGAGCGAACAGG
RNAcentral lists this ribosomal RNA (253 nucleotides) under uncultured bacterium. Its description in RNAcentral is "partial 16S ribosomal RNA". It matches the Rfam family "Bacterial small subunit ribosomal RNA", at positions 524 to 776 of the family's 1533-position model. The record is from RNAcentral.